CUUGUUUUUUGACUCCAGGAGCUUAAAUGUAAGUACAAAUGGUCAAUAUUCUAGUAAUUUCACAUGUUUUCAGUAAUUCGAAACUAAGUUACCUGAAUUUUAGUCAACAACAACAACAUGCUCAGUGAGAUGUAAACAAAUGUACUUCCUGCUUAAAGCAGCCGGCAUUUGACAGAUUUCAACGGUGGGUUUAAAUAAGUUAGCAGUGCAAAAAAGUUCAAUGGUUGGGACUGAAGGCCUUGUUUUGAGGGUGUUUUGCAGACCAGUGGUUGUCGGCCUGGGGAUUUUCAAGAAAAACCGUAGACUGCCCCCUUAAGGUUGGGACUGAAGGCCUUGUUUUGAGGGUGUUUUGCAGACCAGUGGUUGUCGGCCUGGGGAUUUUCAAGAAAAACCGUAGACUGCCCCCUUAAGGUUGGGACUGAAGGCCUUGUUUUGAGGGUGUUUUGCAGACCAGUGGUUGUCGGCCUGGGGAUUUUCAAGAAAAACCGUAGACUGCCCCCUUAAGGUUGGGACUGAAGGCCUUGUUUUGAGGGUGUUUUGCAGACCAGUGGUUGUCGGCCUGGGGAUUUUCAAGAAAAACCGUAGACUGCCCCCUUAAGGUUGGGACUGAAGGCCUUGUUUUGAGGGUGUUUUGCAGACCAGUGGUUGUCGGCCUGGGGAUUUUCAAGAAAAACCGUAGACUGCCCCCUUAAGGUUGGGACUGAAGGCCUUGUUUUGAGGGUGUUUUGCAGGCCAGUGGUUGUCGGCCUGGGGAUUUUCAAGAAAAAA
Molecule: long non-coding RNA, 768 nt
Organism: Dreissena polymorpha
Lineage: Eukaryota; Metazoa; Mollusca; Bivalvia; Myida; Dreissenidae
Exons: 7
Source: RefSeq, a predicted model, not a curated record